AGAGUUUGCUUUUGGCUCAGGAUGAACGCUGGCGGCGUGCCUAAUACAUGCAAGUCGAACGCACAGCGAAAGGUGCUUGCACCUUUCAAGUGAGUGGCGAACGGGCGAGUAACACGUGGAUAACCUACCUCAAGGUUGGGGAUAACAUUUGGAAACAGAUGCUAAUACCGAAUAAAACUUCGUAUCGCAUGAUACAAGGUUAAAAGGCGCUACGGCGUCACCUAGAGAUGGAUCCGCGGUGCAUUAGUUAGUUGGUGGGGUAAAGGCCUACCAAGACAAUGAUGCAUAGCCGAGUUGAGAGACUGAUCGGCCACAUUGGGACUGAGACACGGCCCAAACUCCUACGGGAGGCUGCAGUAGGGAAUCUUCCACAAUGGGCGAAAGCCUGAUGGAGCAACGCCGCGUGUGUGAUGAAGGCUUUCGGGUCGUAAAGCACUGUUGUAUGGGAAGAACAGCUAGAGUAGGGAAUGACUUUAGUUUGACGGUACCAUACCAGAAAGGGACGGCUAAAUACGUGCCAGCAGCCGCGGUAAUACGUAUGUCCCGAGCGUUAUCCGGAUUUAUUGGGCGUAAAGCGAGCGCAGACGGUUGAUUAAGUCUGAUGUGAAAGCCCGGAGCUCAACUCCGGAAAGGCAUUGGAAACUGGUCAACUUGAGUGCAGUAGAGGUAAGUGGAACUCCAUGUGUAGCGGUGGAAUGCGUAGAUAUAUGGAAGAACACCAGCGGCGAAGGCGGCUUACUGGACUGUAACUGACGUUGAGGCUCGAAAGUGUGGGUAGCAAACAGGAUUAGAUACCCUGGUAGUCCACACCGUAAACGAUGA
Molecule: ribosomal RNA, 822 nt
Filed under: uncultured bacterium
Lineage: Bacteria
Description: bacterial SSU rRNA
Rfam family: Bacterial small subunit ribosomal RNA
Source: RNAcentral